GAUGAACGCUGGCGGCGUGCUUAACACAUGCAAGUCGAACGAGAAAUGUAGACGGAAACCUUCGGGCGGAAGCCUUCAUUUCGAGUGGCGGACGGGUGAGUAACGCGUGGGUAACCUGCCUCAUACAGGGGGAUAACAGUUGGAAACGACUGUUAAUACCGCAUAAGACCACAGCAUCGCAUGAUGCGGGGGUAAAACUCCGGUGGUAUGAGAUGGACCCGCGUUCGAUUAGCCAGUUGGCGGGGUAACGGCCCACCAAAGCGACGAUCGAUAGCCGAUCUGAGAGGAUGACCGGCCACAUUGGGACUGAGACACGGCCCAAACUCCUACGGGAGGCAGCAGUGGGGAAUAUUGCACAAUGGGGGAAACCCUGAUGCAGCGACGCCGCGUGAGUGAAGAAGUACUUCGGUAUGUAAAGCUCUACCAGCAGGGAAGAAAAUGACGGUACCUGAGUAAGAAGCCCCGGCUAACUACGUG
This 477-nucleotide ribosomal RNA is filed under the name uncultured bacterium. RNAcentral's name for it is "partial 16S ribosomal RNA". It matches the Rfam family "Bacterial small subunit ribosomal RNA", at positions 28 to 507 of the family's 1533-position model. The record is from RNAcentral.